RNAcentral lists this ribosomal RNA (510 nucleotides) under uncultured bacterium. Its description in RNAcentral is "partial 16S ribosomal RNA". It matches the Rfam family "Bacterial small subunit ribosomal RNA", at positions 28 to 507 of the family's 1533-position model. The record is from RNAcentral.
GACGAACGCUGGCGGCGUGCUUAACACAUGCAAGUCGAACGAAGAGCGAUGGAAGCUUGCUUCUAUCCAUCUUAGUGGCGAACGGGUGAGUAACGCGUAAUCAACCUGCCCUUCAGAGGGGGACAACAGUUGGAAACGACUGCUAAUACCGCAUACGAUCUAAUCUCGGCAUCGAGGAUAGAUGAAAGGUGGCCUCUACAUGUAAGCUAUCACUGAAGGAGGGUAUUGCGUCUGAUUAGCUAGUUGGAGGGGUAACGGCCCACCAAGGCGAUGAUCAGUAGUCGGUCUGAGAGGAUGAACAGCCACAUUGGGACGGAGACACGGCCCAGACUGCUACAGGAGGCAGCAGUGGGGAAACGUGCGCAAUGGGCGAAAGUCUGACGGAGCAACGCCGCGUGAGUGAUGACGGCCGUCGGGUUGUAAAGCUCUGUUAAUCGGGACGAAAGGCCUUCUUGCGAAUAGUGAGAAGGAUUGACGGUACCGGAAUAGAAAGCCACGGCUAACUACGUG